Molecule: long non-coding RNA, 935 nt
Filed under: Manihot esculenta (cassava)
Lineage: Eukaryota; Viridiplantae; Streptophyta; Magnoliopsida; Malpighiales; Euphorbiaceae
Description: long non-coding RNA (MESC_LNC008381)
Source: RNAcentral
ACCUACCCGAGUUUCGUCUCUGGAAGGGACUUUCGGCCGCCGAAGGUGCCGCCGAAAGUGCCCUGUCCAGCCGUUUCUUGGGUGUUUUCCAUGCAUGUUUAAGUGAUGUUUAGAGGGGUUUUUGGGGAGUUGUUUAUGAGUUGUUAGAAUGUGUUUGGCACCUCAUUCGAGUCCACCUGUGUAGGAUCGGACCCGAGAGACCGAGGAGGCCAUCAGUGUUAGCAGUUGCAGAGUCAGUCAGCGUCUGCUAGGAGGUGAGUAGAACUAAACUUAAUCUUUUAUGCACAAAAGCUAAUGCCUAAAGCAUGUUCAUGCAUCAUGAUUAUGUAUAGUAGGUUGAUUGCACUAGUUCACGAAUAUGUUGCAUUGCAUUAUUUUCAUGUUGAUGCUGAGGUAGGGUGGACCGAGGCGACUUCAAUAGCCCAUAUCUGUCACGAGUCUUGUCUUAGUCCUUUGAGAGCCGGACAAGUACAUGUAGGAAAGUCCAUGUGAGCUCUCUGUGGACCAGACACCAUGUCAUGUAUGUUACAGGCCUUUGUGAGCUCCUAUGGGGGAGCCGGGCACCGACAGAGGGAUUUUUGAUGUCAUGUCCAUCCUCUGAGAGGAAAGAUGCAUGCAAAAAGACAGACUCUCAGAAACCAGGGUCCGUGGGGAAUACAUAUUGCAUAAGCCCCGAGGCGGACAAGAUUAUGUGAUUUCUCUGUGUUAUGACGCAUUUCAUGAAAGCAUGUAAUUAAUGAAUGAUUUUUCUCUCUGUUUCUACUCACUGGGCUUUUUAGCUCACCCCUUUCCCCUAACCCCAGUGUUGCAGGUUUAAGUCAGAGUCCAGAGGCUGCAGGGUAAAGUCAAGGUUAAGAUAUGCAUGUUGUAAUAGCUUAGAUUAUGUUUAUGUUUAGUAUGUUAGAGUGGACAUGUAUUAUAAAUUCAUGUAAGAU